CCUAUGUCGGCGACCGGCGCACGGGUGCGUAACGCGUAUGCAACCUACCCAUUACAGGGGGAUAACACUGAGAAAUCGGUACUAAUACCCCAUAACAUCCAGGGAGGCAUCUUCUUGGGUUGAAAACUCCGGUGGUAAUGGAUGGGCAUGCGUUGUAUUAGUUAGUUGGUGGGGUAACGGCUCACCAAGACAACGAUACAUAGGGGGACUGAGAGGUUAACCCCCCACAUUGGUACUGAGACACGGACCAAACUCCUACGGGAGGCAGCAG
Molecule: ribosomal RNA, 271 nt
Filed under: uncultured bacterium
Lineage: Bacteria
Description: partial 16S ribosomal RNA
Rfam family: Bacterial small subunit ribosomal RNA
Source: RNAcentral